This 253-nucleotide ribosomal RNA is filed under the name uncultured bacterium. RNAcentral describes it as "partial 16S ribosomal RNA". It matches the Rfam family "Bacterial small subunit ribosomal RNA", at positions 524 to 776 of the family's 1533-position model. The record is from RNAcentral.
UACGUAGGGUGCAAGCGUUGUUCGGAAUUACUGGGCGUAAAGCGCGCGUAGGCGGGUUCACAUGUCGAUUGUGAAAGCCCUGGGCUUAACCCGGGAUGUGCAGUCGAAACGGUGAAUCUUGAGUGCCUGAGAGGAUGGCGGAAUUCCCGGUGUAGAAGUGAAAUUCGUAGAUAUCGGGAAGAACACCUGAGGCGAAGGCGGCUAUCUGGCGGUGCACUGACGCUAAGGCGCGAAAGCGUGGGGAGCAAACAGG